RNAcentral lists this transfer RNA (84 nucleotides) under Candidatus Delongbacteria bacterium. RNAcentral's name for it is "tRNA-Leu". It matches the Rfam family "tRNA". Rfam says of the family: Transfer RNA (tRNA) molecules are approximately 80 nucleotides in length. Their secondary structure includes four short double-helical elements and three loops (D, anti-codon, and T loops). Further hydrogen bonds mediate the characteristic L-shaped molecular structure. tRNAs have two regions of fundamental functional importance: the anti-codon, which is responsible for specific mRNA codon recognition, and the 3' end, to which the tRNAs corresponding amino acid is attached (by aminoacyl-tRNA synthetases). tRNAs cope with the degeneracy of the genetic code in two manners: having more than one tRNA (with a specific anti-codon) for a particular amino acid; and 'wobble' base-pairing, i.e. permitting non-standard base-pairing at the 3rd anti-codon position. RNAcentral also lists the same sequence under 1 other name. The record is from RNAcentral. Lineage: Bacteria; Candidatus Delongiibacteriota.
GCCGGGGUGGUGGAACUGGUAGACACAGGAGACUUAAAAUCUCCUGGCCCUCGGGCCGUACGGGUUCAAGUCCCGUCCCCGGUA